CUCUUCAGCUCUCUUCACAUAAAAAUAAAUAGUAAAUACAUAUUGAUGGAACAAUAAAUUAAAGCAAUGAGAAAUUAAGUGCAAUCCAUCUCUUUAUUGUAGAUUACUUUAUUUUGGAACCUAAGCCCAUUUGUUGGUUGACAUUCUACUUUCUACCGGAUGAAAACACUGGGAUGCUUUGCUCAUUCCUAAAGAAGUUGCCGGGAUCAACCAAGGUCUUAACAUGAACAAGUUUCCUGAAGUUGUUCUUGAAGUACUUCAAACCCCAAAUGCUUGCUUGUGCAUAGCUUGUAUUGCCAUUAUUGUUCCUCCCCAAAUCAAGAUCCCUAUAAUUCAGAUAGGCAGCUCUAGGAGACUUUGAAACAUACGGUGCCAUGUAUGCAUACAACCUUCUCAUAAAUCCAAUAUACUUNNNNNNNNNNNNNNNNNNNNAUAGGCCCUCGUAAUCGUGCCCCCCGCUUCGGCUUCUUAUUUGUAGGCCAUUUUUCUCGGAGCAAAUUACAGCUGCUUGAACAUGAGAUUCAUCAAAAGGAGUUAUGAUGGCCUCUGGUUUUGGUGUGGAAUUGUUCGAGAAUCUGAGGUUCUGUAUGGAAGAAUCUAACACUGAAGGAUAAGCUGAACUGGUUCUGGUGAGAAUGAUUUCAUUACUGGAGUUAGAGUUCUGAAUGUGGGAGGAAAGGCAUUGCACAAAGCUUUCAGAAAUGGAGCUUGAAGCUAUGGACCAAGCUGAGUUGAGAAGGAUGAAAAGUAGGGGAAAUAGCUUUGCAUGAGAGGUCUCCAUAUUCAUUUCCUCAGCAUAAAAGAUGUGAAAUGCUCUGAGCUUUACUAACAUACAUAUAUGUGUGUAAGUCGUCUGUUGAUGUGAAACCGUAGGUUCCGCUUUCUAGCACUUUUUUAGUAUUAGUGGGGUAAGUCAUCUAUUGUUGUUUUGUCCAUUUCUAAAUUGAUAUGAACGAGUCUCCAACAAUAAUUCUGAAAACCUAAAAUUCAAGCAAUGCAGCUCCAAUUAAGCAGAUCGAUAUCUGAAAACCUAUAGUUCAAACAAUGCAGCUCUAAUUAAGCACAUCGAUUUCUGAAAACCUAAUUAGUUAAGCACGCCGAUAUUGCAUGUUUCUACAACCUUGAAAUGUUUUUUUUUUUUUCAUCAAAACUUUGUUGGAUAUAAAUUUCAUAUUGGAAAUAUAUAACUUUCCCUAUGGGGUUAUAAGAGUUUAUGUCACUUCAUCUACUGUCAAUUGGUUUUGAAUAUGAACCUCAUACUACUUCAUCACAAUAUUAGAGCAGAUUACGCACGUCUAUGUGUGAAUGCGUAACGGCCACACAGACUUCACGUCCACGUGUGCGGAGGCGUGUUAAGAUACAAAUCCUAUAUUAGAAAUAUGAGACCUUGUUUACGGGUUACUACUUUAUCAAACUUGUGGAACUAUGAUCGACACACGAUUUUUUUGGCAAAAAUAUCACACUCCACCCAUAAUCACGAUAAUUUCAUCAUAUAAGAACACUAGCUAGUGCAAUUUUAGAGGUGUGUCAUGUAAUUAGGGCCACCAGUUUGAGUGACACACAUUCGAAUAAUACUGAGUGGAUGGUUAAUCAUUGGAAACCACAGGUCCAACUGAGAUAUGUAAAUAAGGCAUGCACGCCAAGUUAGAAGAAAUCUAUCUGCAGGGUGGUGUCAUAUUAGCUCGAACACAUAUUUGGAGUAGAGACAACAACUAGUUUCUAGAUUUCUGGUAUAGUUUGGUACUAGUCUUUGUCCUACGCGUUGCUGCGAUUGAUUUUCGUGUUUAGUUAGUACUGGUGAUGAUUAAAAAUAGGAUCAUAUAUCUAGAAAUUACGCACACUAUUUGCUGCAGGUGGGUUUCAGAAUGUACGUAAAAACAUGAACCCUGUAAUGAAAUGGCGUCGCAUUGUUCAAUCUCAUAUUCACUAUGUAUUGCAUAUAUUACUGAAACCAACAAUUUUACUUUUAAAAAAAAUAUGGAAUCAAUAACAAAGCCCUUUCUUAUGUCAUUUUUCGGUGAAACAAUUAUACAUUUCUAUGGUUCAUGAUAUUGGUCCUUGGCUUGGAGUUGAUUGACCGUGCCAAUUGAUUUGGGGAUUCAACACACUUGUCUGGAAGAGCAUACACCCAAUAGUGUUCUUUGCACAAUUGCUCCCAAAUUUGUAAUCUCUGCGUUGCAUAACUUUCUGCUAGUCAAGCUAAUGAUAAACAACAACAACACUACAACAUGAAUGCUAAAAAUAAUAGAGAAGCAUUGCAUGAUUAUCGCAAGACCUAAAUAUUAGAAUUAUGACCACAUGACAUUGAAUAAUACCACACUAAGAGAGAAAAUGGUAAAAUGGUAUGAUCUGUAUAUAAUUACAUAUACAAUAUUAAGAGCAGAAUCAUAUAAGAAUGAAUAAAAAAAAAAUUAUGACCCAUUCUUCUUCAAGUAGACAUCCAUAUCUAUUUGUCUGCCACCAAACAAUGAAUUUUGUUUGUUUGUUUAUUACACCACAAAUAUUAAACAUGACAAAUUUUUCUAUCAUUUUGCUGUUAGUAAUGGUAUGUGAAGGAUUUAGAUUGUAUAUUUAUCUGCAAUAGCUUAAUGUUCUUUUUGCGAAAUUGUUCAAAAACGUUAACUUUAGUACAGAACUGAUAUGUAUGUAGAGAUCAUUACAACCAUGCAUGUUAACUAUUAAAUUGAAUCUCAUAACCUAUAUGCAUUAAAGAUUAAGCUAUGUGUUUGUAUAAAUUUAAAAGUUUCUAAACACAAUAUGCAAAUAAGACUCCAUGUUUAAGCUGAUGGUUUCAAUACCCACAAAUAGAAGAACUGAUUUCAAUACCCAAAAAAAGAAGAAGAAAGAAAUCAAUGUUCAUCAAUUUACAGAUGAAUAAGAACCUUUAUAGGGAGGCUAUAUAUUCUUCUUCUCAUAAUAAAAGCUGAUUUCCCCAGGCUAUGUUAUACUAAAUCCCAAAUCAGCUUAUCACCAAUUGCUUUGAACCAUGAAAUAUAAAGUCUUCCAACUCUGGACGAAGGCGUAAACUUAGAGAAGGAAUCGAUGACACGAUCAUUUCAAAACCACAAAAACAAAAUCAGACUGAGAGCAGAGAGCAUGCAGAAAAAGAAUCAGUAGAAACAAUGGACAAAACUCAAAAAAGAAAAGAACGCGCAACAUGGCCAUACUGUUUGAGCCCAGUGGGUAUUUUUGGUCCAAGACUCAGGGUACGUUUUGGAUAACAUUUGGGCCUUUACCUGUGGCCCUUUUUUUAAUGCGAAGCCCACGAAGGGUGGCGAAGUCUGGCAACACGCGAGUUGGAAUUGUGUAAGGAUUCUGAUACCUCGCGGGAUUCGAUGUCCUCGCGGGAUCCUUUGUUCUAGUUCGUGUAGGAUUCUACAGUGCAUGGCGAGGUAGAGUUGGAAAUGGACUGUAGUACCCGCGGGAUAGGAUCGCUUAGUGCUCGAGUUCGCGUACGACGCUACAGUGAUAUGAUGCGGGGCGGUGAGCGAGACCUAGGCGAAGUCUGUUUUGGACACGUGUUGCAUGGAUCGCGCGGCUCGCGAGCUGGUCGUUUCCUGGUGGAAUUCUAAUUGCUGAGUCCGAAUGGAUUUGUGAUUAGGUCUCUGCGAAUUGUUUGCGGAUCGCUAUAUAAGGGAGCUUGACACAACGAACAAGACACACAAUCAAUCAUACAAAACAACUGCAAAUCUUCGAGCAUCCUCGAAACCCUAAGUUCUAAAUGCACCUCGCCUUAGAUCUCAGAGCCCGUCUGGACUCGCCUCUCUUUCCCAAUUGUUGCUUUGCUCGCUUCGAACAGUGAGUAUCGAUUCACAGGUGACUAGAUAGUUUGCUCGUAAUUCCUCGCCCGCGAGGUGACACUGGAGCUCUACUUCGCCUGAUUAGAAGUCAAGAACGCGCACCAUUCUCGUUCCGCGUCCGCGCGGUGGCAUGCCCUGCAAACCCUAAUUUACUUUUGGUAGCACAAGUUACCUUUCUACCCCUGCUGAGGAUCGUGGCCAAAACACAUACAACAACAACAACCAAGAACAUCUGGCAAGUGGUGGCGGCAAUAUAAAGUAAAUAAAAAUAAAAUAGGGGCAAAACCGUAAAAACACACGGUCUCUAGGGCAGUAUAUAGUAAAUACUGCUCAAGUGCUCAGCUUUUGAACCCAAUUAUUUUAACAAUUCAUUUUUUUUUUAAUAUUUUUUUUUUAUGCUGUUCGUGUUCGUCGGAGGAUGAGGAUCCACUACUCACUUUCAAGUAAAUGAAAUAGCAUUCUACCUAGCUAGCUAGGUUUGUUGUCAUCUGUUGUUCGCUCUGAUGAUAAGUCUAUCUUUUAUGUUUAAAACAGUCGCAAGAUAAGUACUUUAAUGGAAGCCUUUUUAUAUAUGAUCUCAGGAAGAAGAUAGGUAUUGAUGAUUUCAUGCAUACAUACUCAUUCGAAGAGAAAACACUGCCUUAAGAACUAGUGGAUAUCUGGAUAUAUAGAGUAGAGAGGCACCCUUGUGAAUCUUCGCGAUCGUUAGACAAUAAAUAUGAUGAGGAUUUACAAAAAAAACAUCUUUAAAUAGCUCAUUUCCCUUUCAUAUAGUGGUAUAGUCUUUUCUUCAUAAAUAUGAAAUGAGGUGAUACAAACUUGACGUGAUUAUCUUAAAAAUCAAUUUAACUCUCAAAUAUUAUAUUUAGUUCUGUGUAAUACAUCAAAUAUAUCAUGAGAAAUUGUUAGGUAAUUUAUAAUUGGAGCAAAUUUAUUUAAAGUCACCAAGUUUUUGCAUAUAUAGGUUUGUUCUUUUUAAACAAAUUAAUUAGGAUCAAUGUCCACUAACCAUUUUUUUGAGACAUCAAAUGUUCUUUAGGGCUCCAAAAGAGCUAGAAUUAAAGCCCAACCUGUCUAUCUCGUUGACCCAAUCCCAUUUUGCUGACAUUGUUCAUCUUUGACAACGAACAUUUCGUUCUCUCUCUAGAGACUUCAUGGAAAUAUUAGGGAGGAGGUGUGGAUAGCAUCUUGUUUAUUAGUAAAAGUAAGAUAAAUGUCUAAUUAAGUAAGGAGGUUCAAGUGUCAAACUACCAAUUUUGACGAAAUGAAUGAAAACUUCAUAAAUUAAAUGAGAAAAUAAAAUUACUGAUAAAGAUUAAAGAGAUAUUAAAUGAGAAAUUUGCUGUAAACAUAUAUAACUACUUCGGAUCAUAUCAAUCAUAACAAGGCAACAAUGUAUCAAGAUGGUGCAAUCGUACUAAUCCAUACUUUAGUUCUUGAUUCAUAUUUCAUGCUAGUUUCAUUCUAAAAAUAACGUAUUUAUGAUUAUUUAGAAAUUUCUAGAUUAGUUAUCUUCAUUAUCUCAACAAAAUGAAUAAGUCACGGUGUAUGCUGCAUAUGACAUUAUAUAUGAGUUGAUCAUAAAAACAAUACAUGCAACACAUUAUUUCCUUGAUCAUGUUAAUGCAAAUACACAUGAUAAAGAUGCAUAUGUACAAUAUACAAUGAUAGGUUCCGUUACUUAGUUGGUUAAGAUGUUUAAUUAACAACUUUGAUGUCAUGAGUUUAAAACCCACUAACAUAUGUAUGGGGUAUGAGUUAUUAACAAAAAUUAAAAAAAGAAAAUCAAGGUUCCCGUCCAGCCCUCCUCAGCUCUCUUCACAUAAAAAUAAAUAGUAAAUACAUAUAGUUGGAACAAUAAAUUAAAGCAACGAGAUCUUUGCCCAAAUGACAAGUUGAUUCACUUUCAGGCCUUCAAAACUUGAGAAUGGCAACUCUAGGUUUCAUUAUUAUUAGAAUUAAAUUCAGUUUACCCCCUUGUGGUUUGGGGGUGACUUCAUGUUAGUCCCUACACUUUUAUUUUCAUCAGUUUACCCCUUGAACUCUUCAAUUUCUGUCUGCCGUGUCCAAAUUCUCAUAUUCCGUUUGAAUUGACUUUUAAUUAUCAACAGUUAAGGUCCGAUUUGGACAUAUAAGGUCUGAUUUGCCUAAAUUCUAGAUAAUGACCUCACAGUUAAGGUUAAAAUUAUCAGCAGUUAACGUCCGAUUUAGACAGAAUAUAGGACAUUUGGUCACGCUUAAGGAAAGUUCUAAAGUUUGAGGGGUAAACUGAUGAAAUUGAAAGUAUAAGGAUUAACAUGAAGUUACUCUCAAACCUCAUGGGGUAAACUGAAUUUAAUUCUUAUUAUUAAUUUUGAAUGAGAAAUUAAGUCCAAUACAUCUCUUUAUUGUUUGUUACUUUAUUUUGGAACCUAAGCCCAUUUGUUGGUUGACAUUCUACUUUCUAUCUGAUGAAAACACUGGGAUGCUUUGCUCAUUCCUAAAGAAGUUGCCAGGAUCAACCAAGGUCUUAACAUGAACAAGUUUCCUGAAGUUGUUCUUGAAGUACUUCAAACCCCAGAUGCUUGCUUGUGCAUAGCUUGUAUUGCCAUUAUUGUUCCUCCCCA
RNAcentral lists this long non-coding RNA (6406 nucleotides) under Fragaria vesca (wild strawberry). RNAcentral describes it as "long non-coding RNA (FVES_LNC001175)". The record is from RNAcentral. Lineage: Eukaryota; Viridiplantae; Streptophyta; Magnoliopsida; Rosales; Rosaceae.